AUAUCAGCUGAAAGAAAGAGAGCUAAGACAAAAAUCAGAGAAUGUAGAUUCCAUUGUAUAAAAUAUUAUAUAUUAAAAAAUUAUACAGAUUUAUACAAUGGUAGAUUCUCUGCAAAAAUGUUGUGAUCGCUUAAUUCAUUAUUCGAAAUCUCGCGUUGCCAAAAAAUCCUGUUUUCUGGAUUUUGCCGAUAACGGAUCAAAAAAGUAGCUUUGACAUAGUUGGCUUAAUUUUGAGUAAAAUUGCCGUUAUCCUUACUUAGUAGUUUAGAUAAGACGCGUUUGCCUCUCUAUAUAGUGAUCAUCUUUGAUGAGAAAAAUAUUCGUUUGGAAUGAGCAUUAACAACUACUUUUUCUAGAGAAGUCGCUUCUUGAUUCGGAUUACUUUUAUAUACAUUUCACAUUCAAUUUCUUAAUAAAUCCUGUAAGCCGAACACUUGUAAUCUUGCUUAUGACAACAAAAUCAACAAUUGUUCGUUCAAAGCAGAGUUAUGUAUGUGUAUAUAUAUAUAUAUAUAUAUGUACAUACACCCCUACUUGCAUACAAUUUGUAAUUAUAUUAAAGCUUCCAUUUUUAUAAACAGUGUUAUUGCAAAUAUACAUGUAUACAUAUACUUAUGUAUGUAUAUGAUAUGUAAAUAAUUCAUUAGUUGACCUUGUGCAUUUUAAUUUUUCAAAGAACAAAAGCUGGAGAUAUUCACAUGUAGACACCGUUUUAAUUAAGAACCAAUGUAUAAUAGUAUUAAAUGUUAUUCAAUACUACUUUUA
Long non-coding RNA from Bactrocera oleae (olive fruit fly), 765 nucleotides. RefSeq lists it as uncharacterized. NCBI's taxonomy places the organism in Eukaryota, Metazoa, Arthropoda, Insecta, Diptera, Tephritidae. The record is from RefSeq and is a predicted model, not a curated record.